This is a long non-coding RNA of Hypomesus transpacificus, 338 nucleotides long. RefSeq lists it as uncharacterized. The record is from RefSeq and is a predicted model, not a curated record. The transcript has 3 exons. Lineage: Eukaryota; Metazoa; Chordata; Actinopteri; Osmeriformes; Osmeridae.
AGGGAAGUGGGAACCAGAAAAAAAAACAUCGGAAAGGUCUGUUCAAUGGAUCAGUCAGCUAAAUAGUAGCAAGAAGAUUGAGUAUGCUGGUUUAGAUGUCGUCCAGUUGCGGUUUCUACGGUUACACAGCCACUCUGCCUCCCAACGUGUGAGCAUAGGUUGCCCGGCCAACCACGUCAUCGCCAACACAACUGGCAGGCUUCACUUUCUUGGAGACACGAAUACAAAGAUUGGUUCGAAGCAUAUCACCGUGACCAGGAAAGAUUGUGAGGUGGAGGUGGAGUUGAGUGUGUGGGGGAGCGCUGAGCUACAUCGGGGGGACAUGGAGCUGCUUCCUG